RNAcentral lists this ribosomal RNA (484 nucleotides) under uncultured bacterium. Its description in RNAcentral is "partial 16S ribosomal RNA". It matches the Rfam family "Bacterial small subunit ribosomal RNA", at positions 30 to 507 of the family's 1533-position model. The record is from RNAcentral.
AUUGAACGCUGGCGGCAGGCCUAACACAUGCAAGUCGAGCGGAUGAAGGGAGCUUGCUCCUGGAUUCAGCGGCGGACGGGUGAGUAAUGCCUAGGAAUCUGCCUGGUAGUGGGGGAUAACGUCCGGAAACGGGCGCUAAUACCGCAUACGUACUGAGGGAGAAAGUGGGGGAUCUUCGGACCUCACGCUAUGAGAUGAGCCUAGGUCGGAUUAGCUAGUUGGUGGGGUAAAGGCCUACCAAGGCGACGAUCCGUAACUGGUCUGAGAGGAUGAUCAGUCACACUGGAACUGAGACACGGUCCAGACUCCUACGGGAGGCAGCAGUGGGGAAUAUUGGACAAUGGGCGAAAGCCUGAUCCAGCCAUGCCGCGUGUGUGAAGAAGGUCUUCGGAUUGUAAAGCACUUUAAGUUGGGAGGAAGGGCAGUAAGUUAAUACCUUGCUGUUUUGACGUUACCAACAGAAUAAGCACCGGCUAACUUCGUG